RNAcentral lists this ribosomal RNA (513 nucleotides) under uncultured bacterium. RNAcentral describes it as "partial 16S ribosomal RNA". It matches the Rfam family "Bacterial small subunit ribosomal RNA", at positions 28 to 523 of the family's 1533-position model. The record is from RNAcentral.
GACGAACGCUGGCGGCAUGCCUAAUACAUGCAAGUCGAGCGAACAGAUGAAGUGCUUGCACUUCUGACGUUAGCGGCGAACGGGUGAGUAACACGUAAGGAAUCUACCUAUAAGCGGGGGAUAACAUUCGGAAACGGGUGCUAAUACCGCAUAAUAUCUUCUUCCGCAUGGAAGAAGAUUGAAAGACGGCUCUGCUGUCACUUAUAGAUGACCUUGCGGUGCAUUAGUUAGUUGGUGGGGUAACGGCCUACCAAGACGAUGAUGCAUAGCCGACCUGAGAGGGUGAUCGGCCACAUUGGGACUGAGACACGGCCCAAACUCCUACGGGAGGCAGCAGUAGGGAAUCUUCCGCGAUGGGCGAAAGCCUGACGGAGCAAUGCCGCGUGAGUGAAGAAGGCCUUCGGGUCGUAAAACUCUGUUAUAAGAGAAGAACAAAUUGUAGAGUAAUUGCUACAGUCUUGACGGUAUCUUAUCAGAAAGCCACGGCUAACUACGUGCCAGCAGCCGCCGUAA